UGGCGAACGGGUGAGUAACGCGUGAGGAACCUGCCUCAAAGAGGGGGACAACAGUUGGAAACGACUGCUAAUACCGCAUAAGCCCACGGGUCGGCAUCGACCUGAGGGAAAAGGAGCAAUCCGCUUUGAGAUGGCCUCGCGUCCGAUUAGCUAGUUGGUGAGGUAACGGCCCACCAAGGCGACGAUCGGUAGCCGGACUGAGAGGUUGAACGGUCACAUUGGGACUGAGACACGGCCCAG
Molecule: ribosomal RNA, 240 nt
Filed under: uncultured bacterium
Lineage: Bacteria
Description: partial 16S ribosomal RNA
Rfam family: Bacterial small subunit ribosomal RNA
Source: RNAcentral